UGGGGAAUAUUGGACAAUGGGCGAAAGCCUGAUCCAGCCAUGCCGCGUGUGUGAAGAAGGUCUUCGGAUUGUAAAGCACUUUAAGUUGGGAGGAAGGGCAGUAAGCGAAUACCUUGCUGUUUUGACGUUACCGACAGAAUAAGCACCGGCUAACUCUGUGCCAGCAGCCGCGGUAAUACAGAGGGUGCAAGCGUUAAUCGGAAUUACUGGGCGUAAAGCGCGCGUAGGUGGUUCGUUAAGUUGAAUGUGAAAGCCCCGGGCUCAACCUGGGAACUGCAUCCAAAACUGGCGAGCUAGAGUAGGGCAGAGGGUGGUGGAAUUUCCUGUGUAGCGGUGAAAUGCAUAGAUAUAGGAAGGAACUCCAGUGGCGAAGGCGACCACCUGGGCUCAUACUGACACUGAGGUGCGAAAGCGUGGGGAGCAAACAGG
RNAcentral lists this ribosomal RNA (429 nucleotides) under Pseudomonadota bacterium. RNAcentral's name for it is "Proteobacteria bacterium partial 16S ribosomal RNA". It matches the Rfam family "Bacterial small subunit ribosomal RNA", at positions 355 to 776 of the family's 1533-position model. Lineage: Bacteria; Pseudomonadati; Pseudomonadota. The record is from RNAcentral.